CUCACUGCGGUGUCGUAGGCGAGAUCGAGAAGGCCGGGGGUGGAGCGACGGCGACGAAUUCGUCGAUGGCGUCGCGGUGGUUGGAGGUUGAAGACGACAUCGAUCCCUGCGAUCCAGGGGCUCCCGGCUCCAACUGGUGGACGUAGUCGAAGGAGUGGACGUCGGCGAAGCUCGCGGACGAGGUGGCUGGGCGUGGGGAGCUCGGUGGGCGCGUGGAUGUCGGAGGCCAUGGCGAUGCAGGUUCGGCCAAGGGUUGCGGGGACGAAAGCGGCACAGGGGAGGGGAAAA
RNAcentral lists this ribosomal RNA (288 nucleotides) under Triticum aestivum (bread wheat). RNAcentral's name for it is "partial small subunit ribosomal RNA". The record is from RNAcentral. Lineage: Eukaryota; Viridiplantae; Streptophyta; Magnoliopsida; Poales; Poaceae.